CGCGCCUAACACAUGCAAGUCGAACGAGAGAUGAGGAGCUUGCUCUUCAAAUCGAGUGGCGAACGGGUGAGUAACGCGUGAGGAACCUGCCUCAAAGAGGGGGACAACAGUUGGAAACGACUGCUAAUACCGCAUAAGCCCACGGCUCGGCAUCGAGCAGAGGGAAAAGGAGCAAUCCGCUUUGAGAUGGCCUCCCGUCCGAUUAGCUAGUUGGUGAGGGUAACGGGCCCACCAAGGCGACGAUCGGUAGCCGGACUGAGAGGUUGAACGGCCACAUUGGGACUGAGACACGGCCCAGACUCCUACGGGAGGCAGCAGUGGGGAAUAUUGCACAAUGGGGGAAACCCUGAUGCAGCGACGCCGCGUGGAGGAAGAAGGUCUUCGGAUUGUAAACUCCUGUUGUUGAGGAAGAUAAUGACGGUACUCAACAAGGAAGUGACGGCUAACUACGUGCCAGCAGCCGCGGUAAAACGUAGGUCACAAGCGUUGUCCGGAAUUACUGGGUGUAAAGGGAGCGCAGGCGGGAGAACAAGUUGGAAGUGAAAUCCAUGGGCUCAACCCAUGAACUGCUUUCAAAACUGUUUUUCUUGAGUAGUGCAGAGGUAGGCGGAAUUCCCGGUGUAGCGGUGGAAUGCGUAGAUAUCGGGAGGAACACCAGUGGCGAAGGCGGCCUACUGGGCACCAACUGACGCUGAGGCUCGAAAGUGUGGGUAGCAAACAAGAUUAGAUACCCUGGUAGUCCACACCGUAAACGAGGAUUAUUAGGGGUUGAAGGAUUGACCCCUUCAGUGCCGCAGUUAACACAAUAAGUAAUCCACUGGGGGAGUACGGCCGCAAGGGUGAAAACUCAAAGGAGUUGACGGGGGCCCGCACAAGCAGUGGAGUAUGUGGUUUAUUUCGACGCAACGCGAAGAACCUUACCAAGUCUUGACAUCCUGCGACGCACAUAGAAAUAUGUGUUUCCUUCGGGACGCAGAGACAGGUGGUGCAUGGUUGUCGUCAGCUCGUGUCGUGAGAUGUUGGGGUAAGUCCCGCAACGAGCGCAACCCUUAUGGUCAGUUACUACGCAAGAGGACUCUGGCCAGACUGCCGUUGACAAAACGGAGGAAGGUGGGGAUGACGUCAAAUCAUCAUGCCCUGUAUGACUUGGGCUACACACGUACUACAAUGGCGUUAAACAAAGAGAAGCAAGACCGCGAGGUGGAGCAAAACUCAGAAACAACGUCCCAGUUCGGACUGCAGGCUGCAACUCGCCUGCACGAAGUCGGAAUUGCUAGUAAUCGUGGAUCAGCAUGCCACGGUGAAUACGUUCCCGGGCCUUGCACA
This 1326-nucleotide ribosomal RNA is filed under the name uncultured bacterium. RNAcentral describes it as "bacterial SSU rRNA". It matches the Rfam family "Bacterial small subunit ribosomal RNA", at positions 43 to 1387 of the family's 1533-position model. The record is from RNAcentral.